This 970-nucleotide long non-coding RNA is filed under the name Heterocephalus glaber (naked mole-rat). RNAcentral's name for it is "lncRNA (ENSHGLG00100045196.1)". The record is from RNAcentral. Lineage: Eukaryota; Metazoa; Chordata; Mammalia; Rodentia; Bathyergidae.
CAGCUGUGAGAAGCAGUUGGCUGAGGGUAAAGCCCUGAAGAGAUGCCCAGGGGAGUGGCUGGCCCAAGGCACUGCUCAGUGUCUGCUCUGUCAGACCUGCAUCUCCUCCCUGGUUCCCCCAGAUCUGCCACUCCAUCAACCACAAGGCCAAGACAGAGUGCACUCCUGCCACUGGGUGAUGACAAUCCAUGUUGGAGAUUGAACUUCAGGCUUUGGCUUGCUACGCAAGCACCCAAUACUGAGCUACACCCCAGCCCCUUAAAAUCUUGAGCCCCAACAGUAAUCUACUGACGUCAGGCUUGGGUAUACACCAUCCAUGGAUGCAAAGCUGGCCUCAGGGGAGACAUCUCUCAGCUACUAGUUUUGUACCAGAUGGUUGACUGAGUCCCACAAGUCUUGGCCAAAUCUAUCUGGAUACAGACUUGCGGUGGCUUAAAAUACACAACGCUGAAAGUUCCAAAGCCCUGCAACGUUGCAGAAUGCUCUACCUGCCAGCCUCCCGUGCCUGGCCAGGAGCGGGAAGGAGCUGUGGGAGCUUAUCUAGGCUCAAUAUAAUGAACAUUUUAAUGACUACAGAAGGUAACACACAGGGAAAAAGAAUCGAGAAAUGAUACAAACAAAUGCCAGUAUCCUACUUCCUUUCUUUUUGUUUUUCUUUGAGAUGGGAUCUUGAAUGUUGCCUAGGCUGGCCUCAAAGUCCUGGGAUCAAGUGAUCCUCCUGCCUCAACCUCCCAAGAAGCUAGUAUUACAGGCAUGUGCUACUGCACCCCACUGAUUUUCUAUUAAACAUUAUAAAAAUUAAACUGAGGGCCGGAGAUUUAGCUCAGUGGUUCUGCCACCUGCCUCACAAGCGCAAGGACCCAAGUUCGAUCCCGGUACCAAAAAAAAAAAAAAAAAAUUAAACUGAAACUGACAAUUCACAGCACUUCAGUACAUAGAAUAUGUAUUAAAAAGAUGAUCAACUAUUUGG